CCCUUAGAUGUUCUGGGCCGCACGCGCGCUACACUGUUCGACGCAGCGAGUCUUAACCUUGACCGAAAGGUUUGGGUAAUCUUCAGCAAAGUCGAACGUGAUGGGGAUCGAUCAUUGCAAUUAUUGAUCGUGAACGAGGAAUUCCUAGUAAGUGCAAGUCAUCAGCUUGCGCUGAUUACGUCCCUGCCCUUUGUACACACCGCCCGUCGCUCCUACCGAUUGAGUGGUCCGGUGAGGCUUUGGGAUCUGAGCAAAGAGAGCGUUUCGCUCGUUUUGCUCGGAAAACUCAGUCGAACCUUAUCAUUUAGAGGAAGGAGAAGUCGUAACA
This 328-nucleotide ribosomal RNA is filed under the name uncultured eukaryote. RNAcentral describes it as "partial 18S ribosomal RNA". It matches the Rfam family "Eukaryotic small subunit ribosomal RNA", at positions 1470 to 1796 of the family's 1831-position model. The record is from RNAcentral.